This is a small nuclear RNA of Otolemur garnettii (small-eared galago), 165 nucleotides long. Its record names the gene U1. It matches the Rfam family "U1 spliceosomal RNA". Rfam says of the family: U1 is a small nuclear RNA (snRNA) component of the spliceosome (involved in pre-mRNA splicing). Its 5' end forms complementary base pairs with the 5' splice junction, thus defining the 5' donor site of an intron. NCBI's taxonomy places the organism in Eukaryota, Metazoa, Chordata, Mammalia, Primates, Galagidae. The record is from Ensembl.
UAUUUUACCUGGCAGGGGAGAUACCAUGAAGGUAGUUUUCCCAGGGCAGGUUUGGUAGUUUUUCCAUUGCACUUCAGAUAUGCUGACCGCUGUGCUUUCCCCAAAUGUGGGAAACUUGAUUGCAUAAUUUGUGGCAGUGGGGAACUGUAUUUGUGCUCCCCCCCA